Molecule: ribosomal RNA, 2487 nt
Filed under: Triticum aestivum (bread wheat)
Lineage: Eukaryota; Viridiplantae; Streptophyta; Magnoliopsida; Poales; Poaceae
Description: partial small subunit ribosomal RNA
Source: RNAcentral
AUGGAUCCUUGCGACAAACUACAUGUGCGGUUUCAUUUUGGUGGCCAAUUUGUUCGGAUUGGGCCUACUUUAGACUAUGUUGGUGGAGAUGAAGCAAGUUCAGAGAUUGAAAGGGAUAGAUUGUCUUUGCCAGAGAUCAAAGGCUUUCUUGGUGAUCACAUACCAGUGAAAGAAAGUAUGAAGAUUCACUUCCUGAUGCCUGGUAAAAAACUAGUGGAUGGCCUAUUAUUUUUGUGUGAUGAUGUUGGUUGUAUGAAGAUGUCUGAAUAUAUAACUGAUGGAGGAGUGGCUGAGGUCUAUGUGGAGUAUUUUGGGGAGCAAGAUGAUCAGAGUGCAAGUGACAGUGGUAGUGAUUUUGAAAAUGAGAUGGACAAUGAUUUAGAAGGAGAGACUGAUGUAGAACCAGAUGCAGUCAUAACUGCAGAUGAUGAUGUGCAAAUAAUUAGUGUGGAUCCAUCAUCAUAUGAUGAGGAAAGUGAUCAUGAAGGAGAAUUUGUUAGGAGGAAAACUAAGUUCCCUCGGUACAACCCUAAGGUAGAUAUUCCACUAUUCUGCUUGGGAAUGUUUUUCAGGAGCAAGGAACAGAUGAGGAAGGCACUAAUAAAAUAUGGACUUCUGACAUUUAGAAGUAUAAACUUCAUGAAGUCAGAAGAAGGGAGGAUCAGGGCUAAGUGUGGAUGGCCUGGAUGUCCGUGGACUAUAUAUGGUGCUUAUAGUAGCAGGUGUUCUAGAUUUCAGGUGAUCACAUAUGAAGAUCAACAUGAGUGUGCACCUAACAGAGACAAUCACCUUGUCACAGCAAAAGUUAUUGCUAGGAGAUAUGAGCACAUCUUAAGAGCCAAUCCGACAUGGAAAAUUGAUAGCAUUAAAGCCACGGUUCUGAAAGAUUUCUUUGCGGAUGUUUCAACAUCAAAGUGCAAGGCUGCUAAGAAGAUAGUGUCAGAGAAGCUACUUGCCGGACUGAAAGAUGAGUACACCAAGGUGUUCGACUACCAGCUUGAACUACUUAGGAGCAAUCCUGGGAGCACAAUCCUUGUUGGCUUGAACCCUGAGUACAUGGAUCAAAAUAUUUUCCAAAGCUUCUAUGUAUGCUUCAAUGCUAUGAAAAAGGGUUUUAAAGCUUGCAGAAGAGUUAUUGGGCUUGAUGGCUGUUUUUUCAAAGGAGCAUGUCAAGGUGAGCUUCUAUGUGCUAUUGGUAGAGAUGCUAAUAAUCAAAUGUAUCCAGUAGCUUGGGCAGUAGUGGAGAAAGAAACUAGUGAAUCUUGGGAGUGGUUUGUUGGCCUUUUGAUAAAGGACUUGGAUAUUAAUGAUCAAGGUGAAGGAUGGGUGUUCAUAUCAGAUCAACAGAAGGGCCUUAUCAAUGCAAUGCAAAACUACGUACCAAAGGCACAACAUAGAAUGUGUGCUAGACACAUCUAUGCUAACUGGAAAAAAAAGUUUAGAGAACAUGCUCUGCAAAAGAAAUUUUGGGCAAUUGCCAAGGCUGCAAAUAGAGAAGAUUUCAUGUAUAGGAAGGCCAAGUUAGCUCAAGAUACACCUGAAGGUGCAAGGGACAUAAUGAGGACAGAGCCUAAGCAUUGGGCAAGAGCAUUUUUUCCUGUUGGGUCCCUUUGUGACUCAGUUGAUAACAAUCUAUGUGAGUCCUUUAACAAUGCUAUAGUUGAGGCCAGAUUCUAUCCUAUCAUCUCUAUGCUAGAGAAGAUUAGACAUAAGAUGACACUUAGAGUCCAAGAAAAUAGGAGCAAAAGUGAAAAGUGGACAUCUAGUGAUAUAUGCCCAAACAUUUUCAAGAAGCUUAAGGUGGCCAUCAAAAUGACUCAGUUCUGUGAUGUGCUCUGGAAUGGCAAGGAAGGGUUUGAGGUGAAACAUGUCAGUGGCAGAGGAAGGAGCUAUACAGUGAACUUGGACAAAUGGACUUGCUCUUGUGGUUACUUUCAGCUAGCAGGGAUGCCUUGUUGCCAUGCCAUCAGUGCCAUAUACAAGAGUGGAAGAAACAUAGCUGACUUCAUUCACAAAUGCUAUUCAGUUGAGCAAUUUAAGAAGAUAUAUGAGCGCUGCUUGGAGCCAGUAGAAGGACAAGAGAGAUGGCCUAUCUCUGACAAACCUAGACCACAAGCACCUGGGUAUGUGAGUAUGCCAGGUAGGCCUAGGAAUAAUGACAGGAAGAGGGAAGAGGGAGAAGCACCAAAAGGAAAGAAAAUGUCAAAGCAUGGCAUUAAAAUUACUUGCAGCAUGUGUGGCCACAAGGGGCACAACAAGACAGGUUGCCACAAGAAUCCUGAAAAGGGGAAGAAGAAGAAUGCCUUCCUGAAGAAAACAGGCAGGAAAAUGAAGUCAUCUGAGCAAGCAAACACUGAUGCUCAAAUCAGAUCAAGCCAGCAAGCUAAAAGCAUAGGAGAAGUUCAAGCACAAGCAGGAUCAAAUGGUGGGAAGAGGAAGGCUACCAAAAAACAGAAUGUGCAAUCCAAGAAAAAAUCAAAGAUGUGA